UACAGAGGGCUCAAGCGUUGUUCGGAUUCAUUGGGCGUAAAGGGUGCGUAGGUGGCGUCGUAAGUCAGGUGUGAAAUCUCGGGGCUCAACCCCGAAACUGCACUUGAUACUGCGAUGCUCGAGUACUGGAGAGGAGAUUGGAAUUUACGGUGUAGCAGUGAAAUGCGUAGAUAUCGUAAGGAAGACCAGUGGCGAAGGCGGGUCUCUGGACAGUUACUGACACUGAGGAACGAAGGCCAGGGGAGCGAACGGG
This 253-nucleotide ribosomal RNA is filed under the name uncultured bacterium. Its description in RNAcentral is "partial 16S ribosomal RNA". It matches the Rfam family "Bacterial small subunit ribosomal RNA", at positions 524 to 776 of the family's 1533-position model. The record is from RNAcentral.